UAGAUGCGAGAGUAGAGCAUAUCAAUAAGCGGAGGAAAAGAAACUAACUAAGGAUUCCCUCAGUAACGGCGAGUGAAGCGGGAAGAGCUCAAAUUUGAAAUCUUCAAGGUUCUACCUUGACGAAUUGUAGUUUAUAGAAGUGUUUUCUGUUAGUAGAGUUUGGUAAAAGUUCUUUGGAAUAGGACAUCAUAGAGGGUGAGAAUCCCGUAUUUGGUCAUUCCUCCUAGCUUUGUGAUACACUUUCAACGAGUCGGAUUGUUUGGGAAUGCAGUCCAAAAUGGGUGGUAAAUUUCAUCUAAAGCUAAAUAUUGGCGAGAGACCGAUAGCGAACAAGUACCGUGAGGGAAAGAUGAAAAGAACUUUGAAAAGAGAGUUAAACAGUACGUGAAAUUGUCAAAAGGGAAGCGUUUGACACCAGUGUUGUUUUUCCGAAAAUCAAUUACGAAUGUUUUAGUUUUUAAGAAGUUAUGACUUCAUCGGCUUGCUCCUUUCUUUAUGAAACUUUCUUAAUGCACUUUUCGGUUAACAAGUCAACAUCAAUUUCUUUUGUUGUAAAAGGGUAUGAGGAAGGUGGCUUUCUUUUCGGAGAAAGUGUUUAUAGCCUUGUGCCUCUGCAAUCGGAGAGAUUGAGGUCUGCAGCGUAGAUCCUUCGGGGUUAGAUACAGUUUGUGCUAAGUUAUAGCUUUUCAUAGACAACUUGUUGACUAUGUUAGUCUUGUAGCUUACUCGCUUAUGCUAUUUUACCUACGCUUAGGAUGUUGACGAGACUGUCGAUCUC
RNAcentral lists this ribosomal RNA (778 nucleotides) under uncultured Neocallimastigales. Its description in RNAcentral is "partial large subunit ribosomal RNA". It matches the Rfam family "Eukaryotic large subunit ribosomal RNA", at positions 22 to 647 of the family's 3401-position model. The record is from RNAcentral. Lineage: Eukaryota; Fungi; Neocallimastigomycota; Neocallimastigomycetes; Neocallimastigales.